RNAcentral lists this transfer RNA (85 nucleotides) under Spirochaetaceae bacterium. RNAcentral's name for it is "tRNA-Ser". It matches the Rfam family "tRNA". Rfam says of the family: Transfer RNA (tRNA) molecules are approximately 80 nucleotides in length. Their secondary structure includes four short double-helical elements and three loops (D, anti-codon, and T loops). The record is from RNAcentral. Lineage: Bacteria; Pseudomonadati; Spirochaetota; Spirochaetia; Spirochaetales; Spirochaetaceae.
GGAGAGGUGGCCGAGUGGUUGAAGGCGCGGCACUGGAAAUGCCGUGUAGGGUAACUUAUCGAGGGUUCGAAUCCCUCCCUCUCCG